This 497-nucleotide ribosomal RNA is filed under the name uncultured bacterium. RNAcentral describes it as "partial 16S ribosomal RNA". It matches the Rfam family "Bacterial small subunit ribosomal RNA", at positions 28 to 507 of the family's 1533-position model. The record is from RNAcentral.
GAUGAACGCUGGCGGCGUGCCUAAUACAUGCAAGUCGAGCGAACAGACGAGGCUCUCUCUCCUCUGACGUUAGCGGCGGACGGGUGAGGAACACGUGGAUAACCUAUCGAUAAGGCUAACAUAACUUCGGGGAACCUGAUCUAAUAUCGGACAAUAUAUUGAACCGCAUGGUUCAAUAGUGAAAGACGGUUUUGCUGUCACUUAUAGAUGGAUCCGCGCCGCAUUAGCUAGUUGGUAAGGUAACGGCUUACCAAGGCAACGAUGCGUAACCGACCUGAGAGGGUGAUCGGCCACACUGGAACUGAGACACGGUCCAGACUCCUACGGGAGGCAGCAGUAGGGAAUAUUCCGCAAUGGGCGAAAGCUUGACGGAGCCACGCCGCGUGAGUGAUGAAGGUCUUCGGAUCGUAAAGCUCUGUUAGUAGGGAGGAACGACAGUGUGAGUAAAUAUGCACGUCUUGACGGUACCUAAACAGAAAGCAACGGCUAACUACGUG